CCGUACGACUGAGUCAAUAGUAUCAUUUUUGAUCACAUAGACGUCCGACAAUCCGUUGCCGUUUCAAUCAACCAGCCAACUUAUCAAGUAAGCUGGUUGUUGCCCCUAUGAAAAGGCAUACUUGUCACUUUUGUGACCACCAAAAGCACCUCACCUAUAUACUAGUAUUAGUAGUAUAGUAGAUUCGGUGUUGACGUCUUUCUUUUGUCAUCACUAAGCAAGGAACCGCUCGUCAUAUUGUCCAUGAUAGAAUCACCAACAACACAACAGCAAUUGCUUGCCGAAUGCUUCACAGUCCAGAAAAACCGUGAAGACAGUUCACCGUAAUUCGACCCUCAGCCAGACGUGCCAUCGGGAAUGAACCCGAUAGCGCAAUGUGCGUUCGAAUUCUUAGUGCUCAAUGUGUCUGCAAUUCGCACUAUUUAUCGCAGCUGGCUGCGUUCUUCAUCGAUCCACGAACCGAGUGAUCCACCGCCAAGAUUUGUACAUUUUCAACACAUACAAUGAAAUAACAAUGUCAAAUAGACCGGUUGUGUUUUGGGUUUUGGCGGCCACCUAGCGUGGCUCAUUAAGUCUGCUCGACUCUGCCUUAAGCUGCUGCUCAUCAAUGAUGAUUAGCAGCCAAAACAAAGGAACUUUCUCCGCAUCUUUCAUCGCAACUGACGGUCCAGGCAGAAGCUAGAUACGGCGUAGACGCCAAAUUGGUCACCGUUGUUCAACAAGCACACGGCCACUCGUAAGCCAUUGUCUGCCUAAAAAAAGCACAGCAGACGGCUGCCACCACGUGUGUACGAGUUUCCAUGUGGCUCACAACAACAUGCAAAUGGAAGGUAUGCACGUUGGGAGACUUUUUUCGUUCGUGUUGGAUUCGCUCGAUAAUGAUCCUUCCGCAGGUUCACCUACGGGAACAC
Molecule: unclassified non-coding RNA, 911 nt
Filed under: Anisakis pegreffii
Lineage: Eukaryota; Metazoa; Nematoda; Chromadorea; Rhabditida; Anisakidae
Description: sequence contains 18S rRNA gene, ITS1, 5.8S rRNA gene, ITS2 and 28S rRNA gene
Source: RNAcentral